GAUCAAGUGUCUUAAGGGCAUUUGGUGGAUGCCUUGGCAUGCACAGGCGAUGAAGGACGUGAUACGCUGCGAUAAGCGUCGGGGAGGUGCGAAUACCCUUUGAUCCGACGAUUUCCGAAUGGGGCAACCCACCUUAGAUAGCUAGAAAAUCAAUUUAGUUGGAGCAACGCUGUUGGGUUUAGGCCCAUACAGACCGCUAGGUCGUCGGCCCAUGUGGGCCGCCCCCGCGGAGCGCCAGCAUCGUAAGAUGCGUACGGCGCGUGAGCGAGAACUAAAUUAAUUUCUAGUUAUCGUAAUAAGGUAUCUACACCUGAAUACAUAGGGUGUUAGAAGCGAACCUGGGGAACUGAAACAUCUAAGUACCCAGAGGAAAGGACAUCAAACGAGACUCCGCUAGUAGUGGCGAGCGAACGCGGACCAGGCCAGUGGCAAUAGGGAAUAAAGUGGAAGAACCUGGAAAGGUUUGCCGAAGUGGGUGAUAGCCCCGUACACGUAGAACACCUGUUGUCCUUGAGUAGGGCGGGACACGUGAAAUCCUGUCUGAACAUGGGUCGACCACGAUCCAAGCCUAAGUACUCGUGCAUGACCGAUAGCGAACCGUACCGUGAGGGAAAGGUGAAAAGCACCCCGACGAGGGGAGUGAAACAGUACCUGAAACCGGAUGCCUACAAACAGUUGGAGCCCAAGGUUCGUCCUGGGUGACAGCGUACCUUUUGUAUAAUGGGUCAGCGACUUAGUGUAUCGAGCAAGCUUAAGCCGGUAGGUGUAGGCGCAGCGAAAGCGAGUCUGAACAGGGCGUUCAGUUCGAUGCAUUAGACCCGAAACCAAGUGAUCUAGCCAUGAGCAGGUUGAAGGUACGGUAACACGUACUGGAGGACCGAACCCAUAUCUGUUGCAAUAGAUCGGGAUGACUUGUGGCUAGGGGUGAAAGGCCAAUCAAACUUGGAGAUAGCUGGUUCUCCGCGAAAUCUAUUUAGGUAGAGCGUCCAGCGAAUACCCCCGGGGGUAGAGCACUGAAUGGGCUAUGGGGACUCACCGUCUUACUGAUCCUAAUCAAACUUCGAAUACCAUACAGUUGGAAGCAGAGGACAGACGGUGGGUGCUAACGUUCAUCGUCAAGAGGGAAACAACCCGGACCGCCAGCUAAGGUCCCCAAGUUCUAGUUAAGUGGGAAACGAUGUGGGAAGGCAUAGACAGCCAGGAUGUUGGCUUAGAAGCAGCCAUCAUUUAAAGAAAGCGUAACAGCUCACUGGUCUAAAUAAGGGUCUUUGCGCCGAAAAUGUACCGGGGCUAAAGCCAUACACCGAAGCUGUGGAUGCACAUUUGUGCGUGGUAGCGGAGCGUUCCGUAAGCCUGUGAAGGGACAGUCGUGAGACAUCCUGGAGGUAUCGGAAGUGAGAAUGCUGACAUGAGUAACGAUAAAGGGAGUGAGAGACUCCCUCGCCGAAAGUCCAAGGGUUCCUGCUUAAAGUUAAUCUGAGCAGGGUUAGCCGGCCCCUAAGGCGAGGCCGAAAGGCGUAGUCGAUGGGAACCACGUUAAUAUUCGUGGGCCUGCAGGUAGUGACGGAUCGCGUGUGUUGUAAGGUCUUAUUGGAUUGAUCUUGCAGCGAAGCGGUUCCAGGAAAUAGCUCCUGCAUAUAGACCGUACCCUAAACCGACACUGGUGGACUGGUAGAGAAUACCAAGGCGCUUGAGAGAACUGCGUUGAAGGAACUCGGCAAAAUGCACGCGUAACUUCGGAAGAAGCGUGACCUCCAUUUAGGCAACUAGGUGGGGGUGGCACAGACCAGGGGGUAGCGACUGUUUACCAAAAACACAGGGCUCUGCGAAGUCGCAAGACGACGUAUAGGGUCUGACGCCUGCCCGGUGCUGGAAGGUUAAGAGGAGAUGUGCAAGCAUUGAAUUGAAGCCCCAGUAAACGGCGGCCGUAACUAUAACGGUCCUAAGGUAGCGAAAUUCCUUGUCGGGUAAGUUCCGACCUGCACGAAUGGCGUAACGACUUCCCCCGCUGUCUCCAACGCAGACUCAGUGAAAUUGAAUUCCCCCGUGAAGAUGCGGGGUUCCUGCGGUUAGACGGAAAGACCCCGUGCACCUUUACUAUAGCUUUACACUGGCAUUCGUGUCGGCAUGUGUAGGAUAGGUGGUAGACUUUGAAGCAGUGGCGCCAGCCAUUGUGGAGUCAUCCUUGAAAUACCACCCUUGCCUAUAUGGAUGUCUAACUGCGGCCCGUUAUCCGGGUCCAGGACCGUGUAUGGUGGGUAGUUUGACUGGGGCGGUCGCCUCCUAAAGAGUAACGGAGGCGCGCGAUGGUAGGCUCAGAACGGUCGGAAAUCGUUCGUCGAGUGCAAUGGCAUAAGCCUGCCUGACUGCAAGACUGACAAGUCGAGCAGAGACGAAAGUCGGUCAUAGUGAUCCGGUGGUCCCGCGUGGAAGGGCCAUCGCUCAACGGAUAAAAGGUACGCCGGGGAUAACAGGCUGAUGACCCCCAAGAGUCCAUAUCGACGGGGUUGUUUGGCACCUCGAUGUCGACUCAUCGCAUCCUGGGGCUGGAGCAGGUCCCAAGGGUAUGGCUGUUCGCCAUUUAAAGCGGUACGUGAGUUGGGUUCAGAACGUCGUGAGACAGUUCGGUCCCUAUCUGCCGUGGGUGUAGGAAUAUUGAUAGGAUCUGAUCCCUAGUACGAGAGGACCGGGUUGGACAGUCUCUUCUGGUGGACCUGUGGCCUGCCACGCAGCUGGGUAGCUUAUACGGACGGGAUAACCGCUGAAAGCAUCUUAA
This 2776-nucleotide ribosomal RNA is filed under the name Brucella anthropi ATCC 49188. RNAcentral's name for it is "bacterial LSU rRNA". It matches the Rfam family "Bacterial large subunit ribosomal RNA". The record is from RNAcentral. Lineage: Bacteria; Pseudomonadati; Pseudomonadota; Alphaproteobacteria; Hyphomicrobiales; Brucellaceae.